RNAcentral lists this long non-coding RNA (803 nucleotides) under Gossypium barbadense (sea-island cotton). RNAcentral's name for it is "long non-coding RNA (GBAR_LNC001006)". Lineage: Eukaryota; Viridiplantae; Streptophyta; Magnoliopsida; Malvales; Malvaceae. The record is from RNAcentral.
UCUUCCGCCGUCUUCUUCUUCUCCUUCUCCUCCUUCUUCUUCAUGCCAUAACCAGCUUUGCAGAGAAGGUCCAGGAGCUGUAGCAGGGGUGGUAACCGCCGGAGCUUUCUUUUUAGCUCUAUUUGCCGGUGCUUUAAUCUGGGUUUACUCUAAAAAGUUCAAACAUGAGAACAAAUUAGGCCAAUCUUUUGCAUCGGAGAUAAUCAAAUCGCCAAAAGAAUUCACUUACAAAGAGCUUAAAGCCGCCACGAGAUGCUUCGAUGCCAAUAGAAUCAUCGGCCAUGGUGCUUUUGGGACUGUUUAUAAAGGUAUUUUGCCGGAAAAUGGCGACAUUGUAGCUGUCAAAAGAUGUAGUCAUAACAGUCAAGGGAAGAACGAGUUUUUGGCUGAGUUAUUAAUAAUCGGAACUCUAAGGCAUCGAAAUCUUGUAAGAUUACAAGGAUGGUGCCAUGAAAAAGGAGAGAUUUUAUUAGUUUAUGAUUUAAUGCCUAAAGGGAGUCUUGAUAAAGCUUUGUUUGAAGCCAAAACGCCAUUGCCAUGGCCUGAAAGGCAAAAAAUUUUAUUAGGGGUGGCCUCAGCAUUAGCCUAUUUACAUCAAGAAUGUGAUCGGCAAGUUAUUCAUAGAGAUGUUAAAACCAGCAACAUAAUGUUGGAUGAAGCUUACAAUGCCAAGCUCGGAGAUUUCGGUUUAGCUCGGCAAGUUGAACACGAUAAGUCCCCGGAUGCAACGGUAGCCGCCGGCACGAUGGGGUAUUUAGCUCCCGAAUACCUUCUAACAGGACGAGCGACGGAUAAAACCGACG